GAUGAACGCUGGCGGCGUGCCUAACACAUGCAAGUCGAGCGGUAUAUACUGGAACAAAACUUCGGUCUAGAGAAGGUAUAGAGAGCGGCGGACGGGUGAGUAACGCGUAGGCAACCUGCCCCAUACAGAGGGAUAGCCUCGGGAAACCGGGAUUAAAACCUCAUAACACGAGAGUUUCACAUGUUACUCUCGUCAAAGAUUUAUCGGUAUGGGAUGGGCCUGCGUCUGAUUAGCUAGUUGGUGAGGUAACGGCUCACCAAGGCAACGAUCAGUAGCCGACCUGAGAGGGUAAUCGGCCACAUUGGAACUGAGACACGGUCCAAACUCCUACGGGAGGCAGCAGUGGGGAAUCUUGCACAAUGGGCGAAAGCCUGAUGCAGCAACGCCGCGUGAGCGAUGAAGGCCUUUGGGUCGUAAAGCUCUGUCCUUGGGGAAGAAAAAAAUGAC
This 447-nucleotide ribosomal RNA is filed under the name uncultured Anaerovorax sp. RNAcentral's name for it is "bacterial SSU rRNA". It matches the Rfam family "Bacterial small subunit ribosomal RNA", at positions 28 to 458 of the family's 1533-position model. The record is from RNAcentral. Lineage: Bacteria; Bacillati; Bacillota; Clostridia; Peptostreptococcales; Anaerovoracaceae.